Molecule: ribosomal RNA, 959 nt
Filed under: Bacillus sp. (in: firmicutes)
Lineage: Bacteria; Bacillati; Bacillota; Bacilli; Caryophanales; Bacillaceae
Description: bacterial SSU rRNA
Rfam family: Bacterial small subunit ribosomal RNA
Source: RNAcentral
UGGCGUAAGCGCGCGCAGGUGGUUUCUUAAGUCUGAUGUGAAAGCCCACGGCUCAACCGUGGAGGGUCAUUGGAAACUGGGAGACUUGAGUGCAGAAGAGGAAAGUGGAAUUCCAUGUGUAGCGGUGAAAUGCGUAGAGAUAUGGAGGAACACCAGUGGCGAAGGCGACUUUCUGGUCUGUAACUGACACUGAGGCGCGAAAGCGUGGGGAGCAAACAGGAUUAGAUACCCUGGUAGUCCACGCCGUAAACGAUGAGUGCUAAGUGUUAGAGGGUUUCCGCCCUUUAGUGCUGAAGUUAACGCAUUAAGCACUCCGCCUGGGGAGUACGGCCGCAAGGCUGAAACUCAAAGGAAUUGACGGGGGCCCGCACAAGCGGUGGAGCAUGUGGUUUAAUUCGAAGCAACGCGAAGAACCUUACCAGGUCUUGACAUCCUCUGAAAACUCUAGAGAUAGAGCUUCUCCUUCGGGAGCAGAGUGACAGGUGGUGCAUGGUUGUCGUCAGCUCGUGUCGUGAGAUGUUGGGUUAAGUCCCGCAACGAGCGCAACCCUUGAUCUUAGUUGCCAUCAUUAAGUUGGGCACUCUAAGGUGACUGCCGGUGACAAACCGGAGGAAGGUGGGGAUGACGUCAAAUCAUCAUGCCCCUUAUGACCUGGGCUACACACGUGCUACAAUGGACGGUACAAAGAGCUGCAAGACCGCGAGGUGGAGCUAAUCUCAUAAAAACCGUUCUCAGUUCGGAUUGUAGGCUGCAACUCGCCUACAUGAAGCUGGAAUCGCUAGUAAUCGCGGAUCAGCAUGCCGCGGUGAAUACGUUUCCGGGGCCUUGUACACACCGCCCGUCACACCACGAGAGUUUUGUAACACCCGAAGUCUGUGGGGUAACCUUUAUGGAAGCCAGCCGCCUAUGUGGGACAGAUGAUUUGGGGGGUGAAAGUCGUAACAAGGUUAACCCCAUUU